This 253-nucleotide ribosomal RNA is filed under the name uncultured bacterium. RNAcentral describes it as "partial 16S ribosomal RNA". It matches the Rfam family "Bacterial small subunit ribosomal RNA", at positions 524 to 776 of the family's 1533-position model. The record is from RNAcentral.
UACGAAGGGUGCAAACGUUGCUCGGAAUCAUUGGGCGUAAAGCGCACGUAGGCGGCCUCGCAAGUCGGAUGUGAAAUCCCAUGGCUCAACCAUGGACGUGCAUUCGAAACUGCGAAGCUUGAGUAUGGAAGAGGGUCGCGGAAUUCCCGGUGUAGAGGUGAAAUUCGUAGAUAUCGGGAGGAACACCAGUGGCGAAGGCGGCGACCUGGGCCAAUACUGACGCUCAUGUGCGAAAGCGUGGGGAGCAAACAGG